Molecule: ribosomal RNA, 930 nt
Filed under: Lauriomyces acerosus
Lineage: Eukaryota; Fungi; Ascomycota; Leotiomycetes
Description: SSU rRNA
Rfam family: Eukaryotic small subunit ribosomal RNA
Source: RNAcentral
UUCUAGAGCUAAUACAUGCUAAAAACCUCGACUUCGGAAGGGGUGUAUUUAUUAGAUAAAAGACCAAUGCCCUUCGGGGCUCCUUGGUGAUUCAUAAUAACUUAACGAAUCGCAUGGCCUUGCGCCGGCGAUGGUUCAUUCAAAUUUCUGCCCUAUCAACUUUCGAUGGUAGGGUAGUGGCCUACCAUGGUUGCAACGGGUAACGGACGAUUAGGGUUGGACUCCGGAGAGGGAGCCUGAGAAACGGCUACCACAUCCAAGGAAGGCAGCAGGCGCGCAAAUUACCCAAUCCCGACACGGGGAGGUAGUGACAAUAAAUACUGAUACAGGGCUCUUUUGGGUCUUGUAAUUGGAAUGAGUACAAUUUAAAUCUCUUAACGAGGAACAAUUGGAGGGCAAGUCUGGUGCCAGCAGCCGCGGUAAUUCCAGCUCCAAUAGCGUAUAUUAAAGUUGUUGCAGUUAAAAAGCUCGUAGUUGAACCUUGGGUCUGGCUGGCCGGUCCGCCUCACCGCGUGCACUGGUCCGGCCGGAUCUUUCCUUCUGGGGAGCCUCAUGCCCUUCACUGGGUGUGCUGGUCAACCAGGACUUUUACUGUGAAAAAAUUAGAGUGUUCAAAGCAGGCCUAUGCUCGAAUACAUUAGCAUGGAAUAAUAGAAUAGGACGUGUGGUUCUAUUUUGUUGGUUAUAGGACCGCCGUAAUGAUUAAUAGGGAUAGUCGGGGGCAUCAGUAUUCAAUUGUCAGAGGUGAAAUUCUUGGAUUUAUUGAAGACUAACUACUGCGAAAGCAUUUGCCAAGGAUGUUUUCAUUAAUCAGGAACGAAAGUUAGGGGAUCGAAGACGAUCAGAUACCGUCGUAGUCUUAACCAUAAACUAUGCCGACUAGGGAUCGGGCGAUGUUAUUAUUUGACUCGCUCGGCACCUUACGAGAAA